Molecule: ribosomal RNA, 548 nt
Filed under: uncultured Glomus
Lineage: Eukaryota; Fungi; Glomeromycota; Glomeromycetes; Glomerales; Glomeraceae
Description: SSU rRNA
Rfam family: Eukaryotic small subunit ribosomal RNA
Source: RNAcentral
UUGGAGGGCAAGUCUGGUGCCAGCAGCCGCGGUAAUUCCAGCUCCAAUAGCGUAUAUUAAAGUUGUUGCAGUUAAAAAGCUCGUAGUUGAAUUUCGGGAUUAGUACGUUGGUCGUGCCUUAGGUACGUACUGGUGUUACUGGUUUCUACCUUCUGACGAACCAUCAUGUCAUUAAUUUGGUGUGGUGGGGAAUCAGGACUGUUGCUUUGAAAAAAUUAGAGUGUUUAAAGCAGGCUCGCGCUUGAAUACAUUAGCAUGGAAUAAUGAAAUAGGACGUUGAUCCUAUUUUGUUGGUUUCUAGAAUUGACGUAAUGAUUAAUAGGGAUAGUUGGGGGCAUUAGUAUUCAAUUGUCAGAGGUGAAAUUCUUGGGUUUAUUGAAGACUAACUACUGCGAAAGCAUUUGCCAAGGAUGUUUUCAUUAAUCAAGAACGAAAGUUAGGGGAUCGAAGACGAUCAGAUACCGUCGUAGUCUUAACCAUAAACUAUGCCGACUAGGGAUCGGAUGAUAUUAAUUUUUUAAUGACUCAUUCGGCACCUUACGGGAAAC